UACGGAGGGGGCGAGCGUUAUUCGGAAUUAUUGGGCGUAAAGGGCGCGUAGGCGGCUUGCUGUGUCAAAGGUGAAAUCCCUCGGCUCAACUGAGGAACUGCCUUUGAAACUGUCUGGCUUGAGGCCGGGAGAGGGUAGCGGAAUUCCCAGUGUAGCGGUGAAAUGCGUAGAUACUGGGAGGAACACCGGUGGCGAAGGCGGCUACCUGGACCGGUUCUGACGCUGAUGCGCGAAAGCGUGGGUAGCAAACAGG
This 253-nucleotide ribosomal RNA is filed under the name uncultured bacterium. RNAcentral's name for it is "partial 16S ribosomal RNA". It matches the Rfam family "Bacterial small subunit ribosomal RNA", at positions 524 to 776 of the family's 1533-position model. The record is from RNAcentral.